This 380-nucleotide ribosomal RNA is filed under the name uncultured eukaryote. RNAcentral describes it as "partial 18S ribosomal RNA". It matches the Rfam family "Eukaryotic small subunit ribosomal RNA", at positions 592 to 975 of the family's 1831-position model. The record is from RNAcentral.
CAAUAGCGUAUAUUAAAGUUGUUGCGGUUAAAAAGCUCGUAGUUGGAUUUCUGCUGAAGGCAGCCGGUCCAUGUUCGACAUGCGCAUCUGGAUUGACUUCGGCAUCCUCUCAGAUAACGAUUCUGUGCUUGAUUGCAUGGAGCGGAGUUUGAGACUUUUACUUUGAGGAAAAUAGAGUGUUCACGGCAGGCAAUCGCCCUGAAUAUAUUAGCAUGGAAUAAUAAAAUAGGAUCUUGGUUCUAUUUUGUUGGUUUCUAGAACGAAGAUAAUGAUUAAUAGGGACAAUUGGGGGGCAUUCGUAUUAACGCGUCAGAGGUGGAAUUCUUGGAUUGCGUUACGACGAACUACUGCGAAAGCAUUUGCCAAGGAUGUUUNCAUUG